CCAGACUCCUACGGGAGGCAGCAGUGGGGAAUAUUGCACAAUGGGGGAAACCCUGAUGCAGCGACGCCGCGUGAGUGAAGAAGUAUUUCGGUAUGUAAAGCUCUAUCAGCAGGGAAGAAAAUGACGGUACCUGACUAAGAAGCCCCGGCUAACUACGUGCCAGCAGCCGCGGUAAUACGUAGGGGGCAAGCGUUAUCCGGAUUUACUGGGUGUAAAGGGAGCGUAGACGGCAUGGCAAGUCAGGAGUGAAAGCCCGGGGCCCAACCCCGGGACUGCUCUUGGAACUGCAUGGCUGGAGUACAGGAGGGGCAGGCGGAAUUCCUAGUGUAGCGGUGAAAUGCGUAGAUAUUAGGAGGAACACCGGUGGCGAAGGCGGCCUGCUGGACUGUGACUGACGUUGAGGCCCGAAGGCGUGGGGAGCAAACAGGAUUAGAUACCCCGGUAUG
Molecule: ribosomal RNA, 446 nt
Filed under: uncultured bacterium
Lineage: Bacteria
Description: bacterial SSU rRNA
Rfam family: Bacterial small subunit ribosomal RNA
Source: RNAcentral